UUUUAAGGGUGGAAAAAAAAAGAGAAGAAAAAUCAUAAUGGUGCUGAACACACCCUUAUAUUUAUAUUUCAGGGAUUUAAUCAUGUGAAAAUAGUUCCAAAUGAUAGGCAGCAUCCAGUUACAAGGAGUCAAAAAGACCAGCAUUGAGGUUUGAAUGAUCAAGAAUAAAACAAGCAGUUCACUUGAAAGCCUUUAGUGUUAAAAAAGGCCCACCAAAGGG
RNAcentral lists this unclassified non-coding RNA (220 nucleotides) under Hevea brasiliensis (rubber tree). Lineage: Eukaryota; Viridiplantae; Streptophyta; Magnoliopsida; Malpighiales; Euphorbiaceae. The record is from RNAcentral.